GGGGAUGUGGCUCAAGUAGUAGAGCGCUUGCCUGGCAUGCAUGAGGCACUGGGUUCGAUCCUCAGCACCA
Molecule: transfer RNA, 70 nt
Filed under: Ictidomys tridecemlineatus (thirteen-lined ground squirrel)
Lineage: Eukaryota; Metazoa; Chordata; Mammalia; Rodentia; Sciuridae
Description: Spermophilus tridecemlineatus (thirteen-lined ground squirrel) tRNA
Rfam family: tRNA
About the family: Transfer RNA (tRNA) molecules are approximately 80 nucleotides in length. Their secondary structure includes four short double-helical elements and three loops (D, anti-codon, and T loops).
Source: Rfam by way of RNAcentral